UCCCACCCGUGUUUACUGUACCUUAGUUGCUUCGGCGGGCCCGCCAUUCAUGGCCGCCGGGGGCUCUCAGCCCCGGGCCCGCGCCCGCCGGAGACACCACGAACUCUGUCUGAUCUAGUGAAGUCUGAGUUGAUUGUAUCGCAAUCAGUUAAAACUUUCAACAAUGGAUCUCUUGGUUCCGGCAUCGAUGAAGAACGCAGCGAAAUGCGAUAACUAGUGUGAAUUGCAGAAUUCCGUGAAUCAUCGAGUCUUUGAACGCACAUUGCGCCCCCUGGUAUUCCGGGGGGCAUGCCUGUCCGAGCGUCAUUGCUGCCCAUCAAGCACGGCUUGUGUGUUGGGUCGUCGUCCCCUCUCCGGGGGGGACGGGCCCCAAAGGCAGCGGCGGCACCGCGUCCGAUCCUCGAGCGUAUGGGGCUUUGUCACCCGCUCUGUAGGCCCGGCCGGCGCUUGCCGAACGCAAAACAACCUUUUUCCAGGUUGACCUCGGAUCAGGUAGGGAUACCCGCUGAA
Molecule: ribosomal RNA, 510 nt
Filed under: Aspergillus flavus
Lineage: Eukaryota; Fungi; Ascomycota; Eurotiomycetes; Eurotiales; Aspergillaceae
Description: eukaryotic LSU rRNA
Rfam family: 5.8S ribosomal RNA (bases 153-306)
Source: RNAcentral